CUGGGAAUAAGCAGUCUGUCACGGAGCAAGCUUCAGGCAGCUGCUGCUGGUGGGCCUCAAAACUCCCUAUCUCCUAAGCUUGAACAUCAGCUGGGCCUUCCUCCUGUGGGGUUGGCCCUCCAGCAGGGGAGGAAGGCAAUCAUUCCCCAACAUCCUUCCCUUUGGCUCCCUCAACCAGACAUUGCUCCAGCUGGAAAAUGGGCCUGCAGAGCUGUCCGGCUCCCCUCCCUGCUGCCCUUUCACCUGACCGGGCAAAUUACCUGGUCAGCGGGACUACAUCUCUGGGCUGGUGGAAGGCAGACAGAAAUAGUGGGGGUGAGGGUCUGCAACUGGUCAGCCAGCCUGCUCUCCCUCCAGGCAGAACAGCUGAGGAGCCUGAGGGCAGAGAAGGGAUGCCACCUCCUCCGAGAGUGGCCUGGUGCCAGAAUCACGCCACGCUNGGAGCCACGAAUCCCUCUGACAGCAGUAUCUCCAGAACUCACACAGGGUUUGGCACGUAGUAGACGCUCCUGGAGGUUUGCUGGGUGCUUGACUCAGGUUGCAGAGCUGGAAGAAGUCAACUCAGAUAGAAGGGAAGAAGUGUGGAAGACAGACUGUACCUUGCGGUCUGCAGGGCCUUUCCCCAGCCAGGAACUGCUUAGCCUGCACAGGAAUUUCACAGGGCCGCCGAAUCCUCCUGCCACGGAACCACCCCAUCCACCUCCCUGCAUCUGA
RNAcentral lists this long non-coding RNA (714 nucleotides) under Capra hircus (goat). RNAcentral describes it as "lncRNA (ENSCHIG00010008023.1)". The record is from RNAcentral. Lineage: Eukaryota; Metazoa; Chordata; Mammalia; Artiodactyla; Bovidae.